This 569-nucleotide long non-coding RNA is filed under the name Daucus carota (carrot). Its description in RNAcentral is "long non-coding RNA (DCAR_LNC000765)". Lineage: Eukaryota; Viridiplantae; Streptophyta; Magnoliopsida; Apiales; Apiaceae. The record is from RNAcentral.
CUAGAAAUUGUGAGCAAUUGACUGCCAAAUCAGCCCAUGAAGCUGGAAUAAUAUCAGGGUUCUCUGUAGAAAAGUUGCAAUUCAGACCUGACACAUCAGGAAACCUCACUUAAACCACAAAAUGAUGUUGUAACAAAUUACAGAAUGAAUUAAGGAGUAAUAGAAAAGAUUAAUACUGAAAAGAGGUGAAUAAGACAUUUUCAAGAUGUGCAUUAAGGGCCAUACUUAAAUCAUAUUAGCGUGCCUUUAAAAUCAGAAUUCAUUGUAAAAUACCCAAAAGCAGAAUUUAAUGGAUUACGAUUACCUUGAACCAAAUAUUAAUAUCUUGGCGAAAAUUCACCAAAAUAGGCUCUGAGUGUUCCAGUCUACAUGACUUCCAGAUAGGCUAAACAUGGGAGGAUCAUUUUGUGAAGAAUAAUACUGAUUUUCACCUUCAGAUAAUAUGACAGACUUCAGGCCAGAGUUUAAGAACUUUCUGAACUCCCAGCCCUAGUAUCCGAAACUUUUGAUGAGUUGUAUGAAUACAGAUAUGUAACAGAUCCUGGUCCAUCAAGCUCGUGUGAAGGAGG